RNAcentral lists this ribosomal RNA (519 nucleotides) under uncultured eukaryote. RNAcentral's name for it is "SSU rRNA". It matches the Rfam family "Eukaryotic small subunit ribosomal RNA", at positions 1161 to 1704 of the family's 1831-position model. The record is from RNAcentral.
AGGGCACCACCAGGAGUGGAGCCUGCGGCUUAAUUUGACUCAACACGGGGAAACUCACCCGGCCCGGACACCGGAAGGAUUGACAGAUUGAUAGCUCUUUCUUGAUUCGGUGGAUGGUGGUGCAUGGCCGUUCUUAGUUGGUGGAGCGAUCUGUCUGGUUAAUUCCGAUAACGAACGAGACUCUAGCCUAUUAAAUAGACGUCGGGUUCUCUGCACUCGACGGUCUUCUUAGAGGGACAAGGUGCUUUUAGCACCGCGAAACAGAGCAAUAACAGGUCUGUGAUGCCCUUAGAUGUCCGGGGCCGCACGCGCGCUACACUGAAGGAAGCAGCGUGUAACAACCUUGUUCUAACGAACUGGGUAACCCGUGGAACUUCCUUCAUGAUUGGGAUAGGGGUUUGCAAUUGUGCCCCUUGAACGAGGAAUUCCCAGUAAACACUAGUCAUCAGCUAGUGCUGAUUACGUCCCUGCCCUUUGUACACACCGCCCGUCGCUACUACCGAUCGAGUGAUUUAGUGA